Molecule: long non-coding RNA, 828 nt
Filed under: Homo sapiens (human)
Lineage: Eukaryota; Metazoa; Chordata; Mammalia; Primates; Hominidae
Description: novel transcript
Source: RNAcentral
AGAGCAUGCCGGGAAAGGCACCUCUCCCGAUCUCCUGGCGCUCACCUCCCGGGCGUUCCUUUCGUGUCCCCUUGAAAGCCCGGUCCUUGGGCUUGGAAUGAGACGGUUUGGGCUCAUGCCUGCUUUGGUCAGUAGAAUACAGCUGAAGUGAUGUUGUACCAGUUUUGCGUCUGGUCUUUACAAGCACUGGUAGCUUCAACUUUCUCCUUCUUGGUACUCACCCACCAUGUUGUAAGGAAACCCAAACAGCCACGUGGAAGACAGUUCUAGUUGAGCUCCCAGCCCAGAGCCUAUCCCAACUCUCCAGCCAUACCCUGACUUCCUUCAGCAAAGAGACAGCUUCUGAUUCAUGUUCGUCUCACCAUAAUCCAUUUCCCUCUCUGCAGAUACUUCCAAAAGUUACACUAGAUGUUAACUGAGCACUAAGGACACUACGUGAAAGACUGGAGUACAAACAUCCAAAGGACUGAAGAAUUUGAAGAGCACUGAAUGUGGGAGAUAGGACAGAGGAAAGGAGUCAAAUGUCUCCAAGAAACGAAGCCUGUGUGCCCUGGAGAAUGAAGAAGCAUCAUCAAAUCGGGGAGACUGAAGGAGGAAUCGGUUUUCAGAGAAAAACAAUUUAUAUUGUCUUAGCUGUGUUAGGUGGCAUACUAUUACAUUCAAGUGAAGCUGUGUAAUAGACAGAGAUGACAAAUUUUAUUCAUUUAUGAAUGCCCCCCAAAAUAUAUAUAUAGUUUUUGCCCUCAUGUCUCUUAUUGGGAUGACAGACAUAAAUCAAAGAAUUCCAUAAAUAAAUAUUAAAAUACAAUUUGUGAUAAAUGCUACAAA